GCAUAAUCAGUAGUCUUUUAAUUGAAGGCUCGUAUGAAUGGUUGGAUGAAAUAUAAACUGUUUCAUAAAAAUUUAUAGUAGAAUUUUAUUUUUUAGUUAAAAAGCUAAAAUAAGUUUAAAAGACGAGAAGACCCUAUAAAUCUUUAUACUUUUAUUAUUUUAAUUAUUAGGAUUAAUUUAAUUAUUAUGGUUAAAAGUAUUUUAUUGGGGUGAUAUUAAAAUUUAAUAAACUUUUAAUUUGUUUAUACAUUGAUUUAUGAAUUUAUGAUCCAUUAUUAGUGAUUAAAAAUUUAAGUUACUUUAGGGAUAACAGCGUAAUUUUUUUGGAGAGUUCAUAUUGAUAAAAAAGAUUGCGACCUCGAUGUUGGAUUAA
RNAcentral lists this ribosomal RNA (373 nucleotides) under Polyporivora ornata. Its description in RNAcentral is "partial 16S ribosomal RNA". The record is from RNAcentral. Lineage: Eukaryota; Metazoa; Arthropoda; Insecta; Diptera; Platypezidae.